AACUAUUUCAAUCCAAUUUUUGAUGAUUUUCCAAGUUCAGAACAGGGGAACCCGAAUAUAUUCUGACUUUGUCUCACAAAAUUCAUUAUAUCUCAUGAUUUACAAAUCCAUUGCUUACACCGUUUCUUCUAUGAGAAACUAGACUCAAUAAGAUUUAAUUUCAUAUUUUUUUCAUCUUCUAAUUCGAUUUCUACAAUUUAUGGUGAUUUUUCAAAUUUACUCUACUGCUGCUGUACAAUAUUGUUUUAGUGCAAGCUAUUUAUUACCAUUUUUUUCCCUUAAGCUUUAAUAAAUAACAAUUUCGUCCCUACUCAAUUAGUCUCUCAAUUGAGCUGAUUUUUCUCAAUUAACACUUUAUUAUAUCACUUUAAACUACUUUACAACUUUUGGAAAUCAUAAUUUCAGCACUAGACUUUAAUUCCAAACAUUAUCACAACUAGGUCCUAAAAUCAAUUUCCAUUAAUUUUACUUAAAAAAAUUAUCAUAAAUCAAAAUUAAAGCUUCAAUUCUAUGUUUAUUCAUCAUAUGUUUCCAGCACUCAUCCAUAAGAAAUUUAAAUAUUAGCCCUUCAACGUAGAACUUAUGAAUUACUUAACUUGAAUUUCUAUCAAUUAAACCCUUAUUUCAUCAUUUUACUCAACAUGAACAUUAUCUAGAAAUCUAUUAACUUUCAAAAUAUCAACUUAAUUUUAUCAAAAUCUUAUUUCAAAGCUUCUAAAACAUCAAAAUUAAGUAAAAAUGGCUAAAUUAACUUACCUAUUAAACUUCCAAACAUUACACCUUCAAUUUUCCCUUUUCUUCUUUCUUUUCUCUUUUUCAUUCUUUCCUUCCCCUGCUCUCUGUUUCGUUUGCUUUGUUUUCUUC
RNAcentral lists this long non-coding RNA (864 nucleotides) under Gossypium barbadense (sea-island cotton). RNAcentral describes it as "long non-coding RNA (GBAR_LNC008169)". The record is from RNAcentral. Lineage: Eukaryota; Viridiplantae; Streptophyta; Magnoliopsida; Malvales; Malvaceae.